GUCAACUAAAAUAUUCUCUAAAAAAAAUGAAGGAAACAAAAUGUAAACUUAUUAUGAAUUUAUUUUAUUUUGAGGAAGGAAUGAAGAUAACCAUUAGAGAUAUCCUAAACUAAUAUGGAACUUACUAUAAAUAUGUUGUUAGUGUAUAAUAUGUACCAGGGGUGGAUGCACCCCAACUCUUUUUUAUUCUCUUCACUAAUUUACACUUUGUGUAAUGUCCUUGAUUAAAAAAUUAAACAGGAUGAAAAAUACCGUGUGCCUACUGUUCUACAUCCGCCCCUAAUAUCAGUGAUCAUAUAUAUGUGUACUAGUUAAUUUGAAAAUAAAAAUAAAGUUUUGCAGACAGAAUUUUAUGAAAUGUAAACACUACUCUUCUGUUG
This 380-nucleotide long non-coding RNA is filed under the name Brassica rapa (field mustard). RNAcentral's name for it is "long non-coding RNA (BRAP_LNC001036)". Lineage: Eukaryota; Viridiplantae; Streptophyta; Magnoliopsida; Brassicales; Brassicaceae. The record is from RNAcentral.